UGGUCUGCUUCUGACAAAAAAGCAAUAGUUUUACUCAGUAUUAGGCCCUCUUGAUCUCUCUGCUGCUUUUCGCACAGUCUGAUACUUCUGGUAUGUCUGAACAGCUACCGUGGGGUCUCUGGUACAUUCCUAAAGUAGUUUGCAUGCAGUCCCUCUGGGUGCAGUCAGGGUGGUUGUGGAGAUAUUUCUUCCUCCCCAGUGAGUUACGAGGUGCCUCCCACAUGGAUAUUUCUUCCUCCCCAGUGAGUUACGAGGUGCCUCCCACAUGGCACCGUAUCUGAUUCUCUUCUGUUCACCGCAUACAUGCUGCUGUGCAAGGAUCCCGUCCGAGUAAGAUGUUGACAGUAUCACUAUUAUGGAGAUAAUACCCAUAUCUACCUCCCAUUUGUAGCUUACUUUGAUCCUAUCAGUAAUUCUUGGAUGCCAUCCUGCCUUGGAUUAGUGUAAACUGGCUGAAAAUCAGCACAUCUAGAACUGCUGCCAGGAAAUUUCAUACCAUGCUAAGAGCUUCCACAGCUGCUACCCUUAUUAUUCCUUACCUCAUCUGUGGGGGGUAAUAAACUUGUGUUUCUGUGUAAAGUACAUAAUGUCAGUUUGAUUCCCAGUGGUAAGCUGACAUUUAAUGUGCAGCUAUCAGCUGUUGUUGUACUAUGUUAGCACCAUCUGAGGAAUAUCACCCAAAUUAAGCACCUAUCUCCACCAGAUGACUUAUAGAUGGUUGCAUAUAAAUGGACUACAGCAAUGUACUUUAUCUGUGGCUUUCUAACACUAAACUCGACAGGCUGUGGAUUCUUCAGAACUCACCCCUUAAUGAAGCCCCUAGUUCCACGCAUACUGCUGUCAUCUUGUGUUCUCUACACUGGCUCCGUGGCAGGUAUCAGAGCAUGUCUGAAGUCCUUAUAAUAGUAUUUAAAGCCCUGCACAGUACUGGCCCCAACUGUUUACGGUAUCUCCUGCCGUUCUACUAACCUUCUUCUAAUCUCCUCUCAUUUGCCUUGAGGCUGAUAGUGUUCCCUGAGCUGAGGUUCAAGCCUUCUUCAUUGUGUUCCUUUUCCUGUCAAGCCAUGGCCUGUGGGAAUCACUGCACUGACAGCUCUGUGAAGGUUCUUCUGAAACAAACUUUCAAAUGAUUGUUUCAUUAGUUGAUUGGCUUCAUCCUUCUAAGCCUUUGUUUUCCUGGCUUCUCUGUUUUCUACAUUGCUUUAAAGUUAUCUUUAUUUCUUCACUAUUCAAGAUUCUUCACAGCCAUUAUCUACUUCAAAAGGCCUCUCAUUGUGAGUUGAAACAUGUAUGAUAGCUGACCAUAUCAUCUGAUCUUUGAGAGAUAAAUGUGCAGUAUUUAUCUAUUUGCCCUUCUUCAUCCUCCACCACAUGACAUGGUGUUUUAUCCCUGUGCAAGUAUUUUACUUUACAAAUGCAUACCUAAUAAGAGUAGAUAAUCUUGCAGCUAUGUCUGCUCGAUGCUGUACUGGGAUUAGAACUUGGAGGCACGUAGCUAGAUGUGCUUUCUAAUGUGACAUUUUGACACCACUGCAUUCGGCAGAGAAAUGCAUACACAUUGCAGGUGUGGUAAAUAUAAAUAUUUUAGGAAUUCCUGACAGAAGGCUAUCUGAAAAGAGAUCCCAGCUAUUAUAUUAUACAAAAAAUGCUUCUCAAAGCUCAGCUGCUGGUUAGAUAAAUCACAGAUCUUUUAUAUACAACUUAAUGGACCAUGUUUAUCAUCUGUGAUCCAAAGUACAUUUUUGCUCCCAAAGUGAAUACAUAAUAGAUCUGCAUUAUUAACUGAAGAGGUACAUCAUACCACACAUAAAUCAAAGACAAAAACAAGACUGAGAUCACCAACCUUUCAGAAGUCCAUAUAUUGGGAAUUACAGAGCCUUGACAGUAGCUAGCAUUAAACUCCGUACAGGAGGUGUGGUUAUCAGCUGAAAUACAUUUCUAAGAACAUGACUGUAAAACAAUUUUUCGAUUCAAUGAAAGAGUAUACUAUAGGUUAUUAAUUUAUCAGUGUCGUUAUGUGGCACACAUAGGGUUUUUCCUUCCGGCAUUAUAAUGUUCCCAUCCUUUGUGAUUAUUUCAAUAUGCAAUGCAUUUCACAAAAUAGUUAUUCAAUACUAUUAAUUUUACUGCUGACUUGUUAUAAUAGCUGUCAUGAUUGAAAAAUGAGCUUUGAAACUGAAAAAUCAUUUUGUUAAGAUGGACUUGCUAUACCUUUUCCUUGAACAAAGCUAAUGUAAGGGUCCAGUAUAUUUGUCAUUAUCGUUAUGAUCUGACUUUUAUAGUGCCUGCCUAGAUGGGUGACAUUUCUGCAGAAUCAUCUACCAUGCAUUCAGAAAUCCAAAGCUAUUCUGCUGCAUGCUAUUGGAACCAGUAGCUCAGUGCUGGAGAGCUAGCUGUAAUUGUUGGUUUCUUGUAGACUUUAGUUUACUGUACAUUCCAUAACACUAGUGACUGGGCUUGGAAGGAUUGAGGCAUCUAUUCUUUACUGCCCGCCUUACUGUGGAUCCAUGUUAAUUGAGUGAAUUGCUGGAAAGGAAAUUAUGAAAUGUAAGCAAAGCUUUGCUCCACAGUGAAGGUUAGAAAUUGCAGUCAGUGUAAGCCUAAAAUUUGCACAGCCUAAUGUCUGGUUAGCUAGUAUUUCAGAAUGGAGGAGAAAACAUUCAGGUACCUGGUGUGACACAUCUGGGAAAUAAGUGGCACCCUUGUGGCAUCCUUGCAUGCUUCGUUGUAAAAUAAACUGUGGAGAGGAGGAAAAAGUAGUCAGAAGAUUGUUGGCUCUCAUGAUCCCUGAUUUCCAGUCAGGUCUUCAAACCAAAACUAAACUGUAUGCACACCAGGAAUUGAAGGUCAUUUCCCUAGAUCCAUCACAGUCUUAAAUGUACGCAUUUCAUUCCAAAGAAAUUCUCAGAUUAUGCAAUUUAUCAAAUGACCUAACAUUGCAUGAUAAUGCUUUUUUUAAUAUGUAACUGAGAUGUGUAAAUGUUGAUUUGCUAUUCCUGUACUAUAAAUCCCAUUCUUUGCUGAGUCCUUUCUUCCUGACUGUAUGGUAUAGUUUGUUUAUCUUGCACCUCACACAGUCAUUGUUCAAACAAUUCAAAAUACUGGGCUCCUUUUGCUGUAGAAAGAGUAAAGCUUUAAAAAACUGCCUGGCAAACUUGCCAAUGAAGGGUCUAUCUAAUGGGACAGAGGUUGUAGUUUUCAUUUUAUGUACUAUUAAAAUGUUCAGAUGUGAGUUUUUGUUUGUUUACAAACUGUUUACAAUGGCACAGUUUAUUUUUUAAGAUUAUAAAUAUAUAAAAAUAUAUAUAAUACAUUUGAGGUAUUUAUUGCAUACUAUUUUACAAAAGUUUUAAGUGUUUUCACCUUUGGAAUAUAUUGUUACAUUUCCUGGUAUAAAUAUUUGGGUGAUCUUGUUAAUAUAGCUAGUAAUUUUUAUGACUACUAAGUGACCAGUUUCUCUGUGCCUUUUAAUGUUGAGUGCAUGAUUACAUAUUUAUUACUGUAUGAAAGUCACUGAGAUAUGUAUUUUUGUAUUUUGCAGAGAGCAGUGAUGUCUAUUUUGAGAUGCCUUCUCUGUCAAGGCACUCAGUUAAGAUCUUCCUAUUCAAAUAAACAGAAAGUAUUCACUGCUAAA
Molecule: long non-coding RNA, 3634 nt
Organism: Protopterus annectens (West African lungfish)
Lineage: Eukaryota; Metazoa; Chordata; Ceratodontiformes; Protopteridae
Exons: 2
Source: RefSeq, a predicted model, not a curated record